Molecule: small nucleolar RNA, 135 nt
Organism: Sorex fumeus (smoky shrew)
Lineage: Eukaryota; Metazoa; Chordata; Mammalia; Eulipotyphla; Soricidae
Product: small nucleolar RNA SNORA70
Exons: 1
Source: RefSeq, a predicted model, not a curated record
AUGAAGCCCGUUGAGCUGACCAUGCUCACUGGCCUCUGGGACUCGCCUUGCAGUGGUUGCAAACAAGAAGCCUCCUCACUAUUGUCAGCAGCCUGUGGUUUGUAUGGACUGAUCAAAGAGACCUUAAAGACAAUC